CCACAGUGUAAACGGCGGCGUAUUGAUCAGCUUCUGAGUCUUCAGACGAGCUAACCUUGCUUGCAGAAUAACUCUGUACCUGAAGCGGGAGAAAAAUGGCCUGGUUGUCAACACUCGCCCAUCUGCAAAGGAAGGCCAGAUCAAUAAGCAGGAGAGGGGAGAAAAAAAAGGCAAGAACUCUUGGAAUCACUAGCCGAACCACCCACUGCUUCUCUACUGCCCCUUAAUCGUCCAUUAGCGAGCUUCAUCAGCCAUCUUUUAACCAUGGGCAACCUUGAGGAUGGAAACUAAGUGCUAAGAAUGGACAGCAGAGACAGCAGAAGCCUGGAACUUGGAGCGCAUCAUAGAACCACCAGCCUGCUCGGGACUGCCUGCCUCCAGGCCUCUUUUAUUUACAAGAAAACAAACCACUUUCUUGUUUGAGUCACAGUUAUUUCGAGUCUCUGGGACAAGCAGCCACAUGCAACUUCCAGGUAAGACGCUUGGUCUUUAUGGACCUUUUCUCCCUUGAUUCUCCUACUACCACUCAGACAACUUUUCCUCCAUCCACCCUGAAAUCGUGGAGUUUCUAGUCUCCAGCCCCAUCCCUCUUACUCUCUGCCUUCACUCUCUAAGUUUCCUGGCAAACAAGAGUUCUCUCAAUGGGCCAGUUCUCUCACUCCUCUGAUUUUACAAAUGCCCUUAGCCCCUACUUUGUUUGAUUCCACUUCUUCUUCCAAAACUGAGUUCAACUGUCUUCUCUGAUCCCCCAAAUCUAAGUCAGGUUGUGUCACAAACAUUUAUCACACAGUAAUAUAACAGUCUGUCUCUCCACAAGAAGGUGAAUUUCUUGAGAUUUCCAUCUCAGUAUUUUCAUUACAGAUAAUGAUGUACUAGGGAUAUAAACAUGAAAUAAAACAUGGUCCUAUAUUCAAGAGCUACCCAACUAUAUUAAUUUUCUCAGUGAAUAUUAUAGACGAAUGAAAUGUGCUUAAACAAAACAGACAUUGCAUUAAAGCAUUGUUUCUGUAGGUCAUCCUUAUGCUAUUCUCCGGCACUUAUAACAUACAACCUUGUAUAACAGUUAUCAGAAACAGGGCUUGUUUUUCUUUUCUUUCGAAGGUAAGGAUUAUAGCCUAAAUACUCCUAUCUCCUAGAGAGUCUGAGAUAAUAUCAUGUAUUUAAUUAUACCUUAAGUAAAUAUCUGCUGAAUGAACAAAAUGAAAUUAGUUGUCACUCAUCUUUAUACAGCAUUCAUCAUCAUAGCAUUUUAUUGUCAUGAAAUGGCAAA
Equus caballus (horse) is the source of this 1270-nucleotide long non-coding RNA. RefSeq lists it as uncharacterized. The record is from RefSeq and is a predicted model, not a curated record. NCBI's taxonomy places the organism in Eukaryota, Metazoa, Chordata, Mammalia, Perissodactyla, Equidae.